Molecule: ribosomal RNA, 387 nt
Filed under: Marphysa victori
Lineage: Eukaryota; Metazoa; Annelida; Polychaeta; Eunicida; Eunicidae
Description: partial 16S ribosomal RNA
Rfam family: Bacterial large subunit ribosomal RNA
Source: RNAcentral
GAGAAUAAGACUGUCUCACUCAUACCCAUAAAAAUCUAUCUUCAGGUGAAGAAGCCUGAAUUAAUAUAAAAGACAAGAAGACCCUGUCGAGCUUUAGCAUACUAUAUGAGCCUUACGCCCAUCCACACCUUCCCUCAUAUCCAGGCUUUUGUUGGGGCGACAACGGAACCUAUCAAUCUUCCGUUAAAAUACAGACCUUACGUCACCCAAAUGAUCCUUUACUGAUCACAAGAUCUAGCUACCGCAGGGAUAACAGACUAAUCUUCCUCCGGAGCCCAAAUCUACAGGAAGGCUUGGCACCUCGAUGUUGGCUUAGGAAAAUCCCCUAGAUGAAGCAGUCUAGGAAGUGGGUUUGUUCAACCCUUAAUAUCCUACGUGAUCUGAGUA